Molecule: ribosomal RNA, 460 nt
Filed under: uncultured bacterium
Lineage: Bacteria
Description: partial 16S ribosomal RNA
Rfam family: Bacterial small subunit ribosomal RNA
Source: RNAcentral
CCUACGGGUGGCUGCAGUGAGGAAUAUUGGUCAAUGGGCUUACGCCUGAACCAGCCAAGUCGCGUGAGGGAAGACUGCCCUAUGGGUUGUAAACCUCUUUUGUCAGGGAGCAACGCCGGCUACGUGUAGCCGGACUGAGAGUACCUGAAGAAAAAGCAUCGGCUAACUCCGUGCCAGCAGCCGCGGUAAUACGGAGGAUGCGAGCGUUAUCCGGAUUUAUUGGGUUUAAAGGGUGCGUAGGCGGGAUGCCAAGUCAGCGGUAAAAAUGCGGUGCUCAACGCCGUCGAGCCGUUGAAACUGGCGUUCUUGAGUGGGCGAGAAGUAUGCGGAAUGCGUGGUGUAGCGGUGAAAUGCAUAGAUAUCACGCAGAACUCCGAUUGCGAAGGCAGCAUACCGGCGCCCUACUGACGCUGAGGCACGAAAGCGUGGGUAUCGAACAGGAUUAGAUACCCCUGUAGUC